This is a long non-coding RNA of Rhincodon typus (whale shark), 948 nucleotides long. RefSeq lists it as uncharacterized. The transcript is spliced from 3 exons. The record is from RefSeq and is a predicted model, not a curated record. NCBI's taxonomy places the organism in Eukaryota, Metazoa, Chordata, Chondrichthyes, Orectolobiformes, Rhincodontidae.
UGCUGUCCGUCUACGCGUACCAUGUGGAGAGCGCCCGGGCCACUCAGCCCGGCUACGUGGCCAUGUGCGACCUGAGCGAGCGGAUGAGCUGCACCAAGGUGUUCGGCUCGAGCUAAGAGAAAGCAAGAAAUGAAGUCCUGGUUCAAACAUUGGCAUUACAAAGAUUUUCUUGGCUGGAUCAUAUGGCGCACAGUCUACAUGCUAAUAUGACAUGGGAGAGACUUCCAUCAUAAAGAACCCUAUUUCGAAAAAUAUGUUGGCUUAUGGGAUUUCAAACCUAUUCCCACCUCUCAACGUCACUAUUGCUUCCCUCUAUGCGGAUGCCUCUUCAAACAAAUAGUUACAAAGAGGUCUGUUUUUUUUUUCAAUUUCAGUUUUUAAGUUAUGAGCUCUGAUGUCAGAAAAUAAGAUGAGACUGGAUGGAGGAGUUGGAGUCCUAUGGGUAGCAAAGCUUUUAAAUAAAAAUGGAAAUUUAAUCGGUCCUUGGGUUAAUAAUAUUAAUUGGUGAUUCAUCACCAUCAGUUAAAUUAUUAUUCUCAUUUGGCUCCCCCAUUGAUGAGAAUUUGACUAUGAAGCAUAUUUACAAAAAUGAGUGUUCAAGAUAUUGUUAAUUCCAAUGUAUUCUUGAAUAAAACUCUUAAGUUCAUUUCUUGCUUCCUCAUUGCUACAAUUACACAAAAAUCUCAUGACUUUGCCAUCUUGUCCAUUUUGUCAUGUUAAAAUGUGUCACAAAACCACACUCCUCCAGUCAGUAGACUGUGGUCACAUGAUCUUCAGUUUUUUUUUGCAUGUUCUGAAUCCUGUUAGAAAUUCAAAGUUUGUUGCAGUUAUCAUAUUGAAGUCGUGCCACUAAUAGCGUUGCUCUAACCAGUGUUAAUUUCAUACCUAUGCUAUACUGGGAAUGUUACUUUGAUAAUAGAAUUAAUAGGUUUUACCACUAUCAUCUUG